UAGAAAAUAAUAUAAGGGAAGUAUGAAGGGGUUUGAUCUCUUACGUGUAGGUUCGAAUCCUACUUUUCUAAU
RNAcentral lists this transfer RNA (72 nucleotides) under Nyctyornis amictus. RNAcentral describes it as "tRNA-Gln". It matches the Rfam family "tRNA". Rfam says of the family: Transfer RNA (tRNA) molecules are approximately 80 nucleotides in length. Their secondary structure includes four short double-helical elements and three loops (D, anti-codon, and T loops). Further hydrogen bonds mediate the characteristic L-shaped molecular structure. tRNAs have two regions of fundamental functional importance: the anti-codon, which is responsible for specific mRNA codon recognition, and the 3' end, to which the tRNAs corresponding amino acid is attached (by aminoacyl-tRNA synthetases). tRNAs cope with the degeneracy of the genetic code in two manners: having more than one tRNA (with a specific anti-codon) for a particular amino acid; and 'wobble' base-pairing, i.e. permitting non-standard base-pairing at the 3rd anti-codon position. The record is from RNAcentral. Lineage: Eukaryota; Metazoa; Chordata; Aves; Coraciiformes; Meropidae.